CCGGUGGAGCAGGGGGCGGGGCUCCAGGCAGUCGAGCAGGCUCCAGUAGCCGGGGAAGCUCACGGGAUUGUCCCCGAGAAUGAUGACCUCGUGAAGGCGUUGCCUGAUGACUUAUCCGACGCAUGAAGUGGCGACGGUGGCGUUACCGUAUUUUGCAUGUGCAACAAGCAUCAGGGAAUUACGGGCAUGAAUUGGGGCAGCAUCGGUCUCUUCUCAGCCUCUCCUGCAGCAGUUACCACGGAGCUACUGCAAUGUUGCAGGCUGCAUGUAAGCGUGCAUGUUACAUAAUGGCACCAGAAAACGAUGAGGAACUUUUGCAGGCGGUGCGGCAGGGUGUGUCUCCGAGGCGCGAGAAAAACAUGCCUGGCUUGCCUAUCUAGCUUUGGCUACUCUGUAUCGAUGCUGCUUGAGCGAGCAGGUCAGAUCAGGUCAUCUCGGUGCUUGGGGCCAAGCGAUCAUGGCUGAAGAUGCGAUUGAUGUCGCGUACCUCAGUACACGACGCGCAGGUAAGUCUUAAUGAAAAAGCGGAUUCUCAGCCGGCAGCGGAUUCUAAGCCGGUAGAUCGAGAGCUGCGUCUUUAGCAGCGUUUGGGCUGUUGCAUGGACCUAAGUAUACCCGAUGCACAUGACAAAUAGCUGCUGCGGACAAGUGUGUAUCAGGGUUGACCGCAUAGAGAAGUAGCCCCCUUUGGUAAUUGCCUUGUAUUCAAGUUGAUUUGAGCUGAACCUGACAUCCAACCUCAUUGAGCGCACGGGUGCUGACCGCUGAUGGCAUAUUAAUGUAACCAGUGCGGAUUGAUGGGACGCGGGGGGAUGAACGGGCUACGUGCAGUUAAGCAAUUGCGCCAGCGCUGUCCGCGAUGCGCUUGGUAAGAUUGACGAAACCAAGGUGUUAGCCAGGAGAAUUUUUGACGCGGUGGUGAGUCUAUGUGGUUAAGCAUGGUUAUGGCCGGAUUGCACCCGAGGUGUUGGCUCUGGAUUACGUCGCAGAAAAACAUCACCAGGAUAGCUCUGUCCUGCCCCAGUGGUUGCUUUCUCCUUCCUGUGCGUCACAAGGCCGUGGUUGUGAACGCUACGAAGGGCCGACGUCUCUUGGCUAUGUGUGCGGGAGCCUGGUGGUCUUACUGCUCUGCUUAUCCAUCCGUGUUUUGUGUGCUGAAGUCUGGAACUUACCAUCGUCAGGACGCCGUUACGCCGUCGAGGUUUGCUGGGUUGGUGGCUUAAGUCACGCCCUCGGUCUAAUCCCCUGUUUGGCGUCCGCUCCCAGUCUUGCUACGGGCCUAAUUGCGUCGGUGCUGGCUUGUGGCUGCAGCACUGUAGUGUGGCAGCGAGGUAGCAUUUCUUUUGUGGGCAUUUUUCUCUUAUCCUGCUUUCCCCUAAGCCUCACAUUUUGAAACUCCCUCAUCAAUGCUUGCAGCUUCCUUUCCUGCCUGAGUUGCGGCACUUCAGGCACCAUCUAUCCUAAAUUUAGUUCGUGGUUGUAAUGCGUAGGCCUCAACAGUUGCGUGUUCAUUUCUGCUCCCAGAUUG
Molecule: long non-coding RNA, 1528 nt
Filed under: Volvox carteri
Lineage: Eukaryota; Viridiplantae; Chlorophyta; Chlorophyceae; Chlamydomonadales; Volvocaceae
Description: long non-coding RNA (VCAR_LNC003524)
Source: RNAcentral